This 397-nucleotide ribosomal RNA is filed under the name uncultured bacterium. Its description in RNAcentral is "partial 16S ribosomal RNA". It matches the Rfam family "Bacterial small subunit ribosomal RNA", at positions 523 to 918 of the family's 1533-position model. The record is from RNAcentral.
AUACGUAGGUGACAAGCGUUAUCCGGAUUUACUGGGUGUAAAGGGCGUGUAGGCGGUUUAGCAAGUCAGAAGUGAAAUUCCCGGGCUUAACUUGGGCGCUGCUUCUGAAACUGCUUUACUUGAGUGCAGGAGAGGAUAGUGGAAUUCCUAGUGUAGCGGUAAAAUGCGCAGAUAUUAGGAGGAACACCGGUGGCGAAGGCGGCUAUCUGGACAGUAACUGACGCUGAGGCGCGAAAGCACGGGGAGCAAACAGGAUUAGAUACCCUGGUAGUCCGUGCCGUAAACGAUGAAUACUAGGUGUAGGGGGUAUCGACUCCCUCUGUGCCGCAGUUAACACAUUAAGUAUUCCACCUGGGGAGUACGGCCGCAAGGUUGAAACUCAAAUGAAUCGACGGGG